AUAUCCUUAGCUCAGUUGGUAGAGCAUGGCGCUUCACAUGCCAGGGUUGUGGGUUCAAUGCCCACGGGGGACC
Molecule: transfer RNA, 73 nt
Filed under: Salmo salar (Atlantic salmon)
Lineage: Eukaryota; Metazoa; Chordata; Actinopteri; Salmoniformes; Salmonidae
Rfam family: tRNA
About the family: Transfer RNA (tRNA) molecules are approximately 80 nucleotides in length.
Source: Rfam by way of RNAcentral